Labeo rohita (rohu) is the source of this 323-nucleotide long non-coding RNA. RefSeq lists it as uncharacterized. The transcript is spliced from 3 exons. The record is from RefSeq and is a predicted model, not a curated record. NCBI's taxonomy places the organism in Eukaryota, Metazoa, Chordata, Actinopteri, Cypriniformes, Cyprinidae.
CUAAACCCUUGUUGGACAUAGAUGUCUGAGCAAAGCAGGAGACAGGACAGAACUACACUUACAGCGUUUCUAAAUAAACUGACCGUUGUAUGAUGAAAUUAACCAAGAUAAAACCCAACUGGCUCUUUAUGCUGAUUCUGGUAUUUCACACCAUACCUGUACAAGCAGAAGCUUCUCGUGAUGAUGAAAUGAGGAUCCUGAUAGUGGGAAUCAGAGGUCAGUCCAGAUUUAGUGCUGCAGAUCUUCUGUCAGGAAGGGAAGACGGUGGACAGGUGGACAGAGAGAUUGUAAAGACUCCAGUAAUUACAGACGAGGGUCGUAGA